GUUUUGUUACACAUUUUGUUACACCUUAGUUAUACAGUAACCCGGAUUGGUGGACCAUUGUAAAGUUGAGUUUUUGGGGUAGCAUAGAUUUAUAUCGUUGUAUUCCUUUUGUUUGUGUUAACCAAUUGUUGUUCGGAAUUAUUUUUCAUACAUCAUUAAUUGAUCUUGCAAUUACUUGUAAUUUAGUUUGGGUCUUAUUUCUUGAGUGUCAUAUUUUGGCUAUGUUUGUGUUCGAUCAUACAGUAUAAUAAGUCGGUAGUUGCCCGCGAAUGGAUUUUUUAAAAAUUUCUUGUGACUCUUUGCGUCUUAUUUGUUGAUUGCAGUUGGUUUUUGUUUUGUGUCAUGUGGAGAUAUGGUGUUAUUUUGUUUUUCUUUUCAUGUGUUUGCAUCUUAAAU
This 396-nucleotide long non-coding RNA is filed under the name Mytilus galloprovincialis (Mediterranean mussel). The record is from RNAcentral. Lineage: Eukaryota; Metazoa; Mollusca; Bivalvia; Mytilida; Mytilidae.